RNAcentral lists this ribosomal RNA (483 nucleotides) under uncultured Actinomycetes bacterium. RNAcentral describes it as "bacterial SSU rRNA". It matches the Rfam family "Bacterial small subunit ribosomal RNA", at positions 963 to 1449 of the family's 1533-position model. Lineage: Bacteria; Bacillati; Actinomycetota; Actinomycetes. The record is from RNAcentral.
GAAGGACCUUACCAAGGCUUGACAUAUACAGGAAUAUGGCAGAAAUGUCAUAGCCGCAAGGUCUGUAUACAGGUGGUGCAUGGUUGUCGUCAGCUCGUGUCGUGAGAUGUUGGGUUAAGUCCCGCAACGAGCGCAACCCUCGUUCUGUGUUGCCAGCAUUUAGUUGGGGACUCACAGGAGACUGCCGGGGUUAACUCGGAGGAAGGUGGGGAUGACGUCAAAUCAUCAUGCCCCUUAUGUCUUGGGCUGCACGCAUGCUACAAUGGCUGGUACAAACGGCUGCGAUACCGCAAGGUGGAGCGAAUCCGAUAAAGCCAGUCUCAGUUCGGAUUGGGGUCUGCAACUCGACCCCAUGAAGUCGGAGUUGCUAGUAAUCGUAGAUCAGCAACGCUACGGUGAAUACGUUCCCGGGGCUUGUACACACCGCCCGUCACGUCACGAAAGUCGGUAACACCCGAAGUCAGUGGCCCAACCGUAAGGGGG